UGGUAGAUGCACCCUGAUAACUAAAUCUCCCCCUAGUCGGACAAAACCGCUGGGGGUUUUUUCU
This 64-nucleotide small RNA is filed under the name Raphidiopsis brookii D9. Its description in RNAcentral is "Nitrogen stress-induced RNA 1". It matches the Rfam family "Nitrogen stress-induced RNA 1". Lineage: Bacteria; Bacillati; Cyanobacteriota; Cyanophyceae; Nostocales; Aphanizomenonaceae. The record is from Rfam by way of RNAcentral. RNAcentral also lists the same sequence under 1 other name.